This 492-nucleotide ribosomal RNA is filed under the name uncultured bacterium. RNAcentral's name for it is "partial 16S ribosomal RNA". It matches the Rfam family "Bacterial small subunit ribosomal RNA", at positions 29 to 507 of the family's 1533-position model. The record is from RNAcentral.
AGUGAACGCUGGCGGUAGGCCUAACACAUGCAAGUCGAACGGCAGCACAGUAAGAGCUUGCUCUUACGGGUGGCGAGUGGCGGACGGGUGAGGAAUACAUCGGAAUCUACUUUUUCGUGGGGGAUAACGUAGGGAAACUUACGCUAAUACCGCAUACGACCUACGGGUGAAAGCAGGGGAUCUUCGGACCUUGCGCGAUUGAAUGAGCCGAUGUCGGAUUAGCUAGUUGGCGGGGUAAAGGCCCACCAAGGCGACGAUCCGUAGCUGGUCUGAGAGGAUGAUCAGCCACACUGGAACUGAGACACGGUCCAGACUCCUACGGGAGGCCGCAGUGGGGAAUAUUGGACAAAGGGCGCAAGCCUGAUCCAGCCAUACCGCGUGGGUGAAGAAGGCCUUCGGGUUGUAAAGCCCUUUUGUUGGGAAAGAAAAGCAGCAGGUUAAUACCCCGCUGUUCUGACGGUACCCAAAGAAUAAGCACCGGCUAACUUCGUG